RNAcentral lists this ribosomal RNA (535 nucleotides) under Aspergillus amstelodami. RNAcentral's name for it is "eukaryotic LSU rRNA". The stretch from base 208 to 362 matches the Rfam family "5.8S ribosomal RNA". Lineage: Eukaryota; Fungi; Ascomycota; Eurotiomycetes; Eurotiales; Aspergillaceae. The record is from RNAcentral.
GUCAUGGAGAGGAAGUAAAAGUCGUAACAAGGUUUCCGUAGGUGAACCUGCGGAAGGAUCAUUACCGAGUGCGGGCCGGCUGGGUCCGACCUCCCAUCCGUGUCUAUCUGUACCCUGUUGCUUCGGCGUGGCCACGGCCCGCCGGAGACUAACAUUUGGACGCUGUCUGAAGUUUGCAGUCUGAGUUUUUAGUUAAACAAUCGUUAAAACUUUCAACAACGGAUCUCUUGGUUCCGGCAUCGAUGAAGAACGCAGCGAAAUGCGAUAAUUAAUGUGAAUUGCAGAAUUCUAGUGAAUCAUCGAGUCUUUGAACGCACAUUGCGCCCCCUGGUAUUCCGGGGGGCAUGCCUGUCCGAGCGUCAUUGCUGCCCUCAAGCACGGCUUGUGUGUUGGGCUUCCGUCCCUGGCAACGGGGACGGGCCCAAAAGGCAGUGGCGGCACCAUGUCUGGUCCUCGAGCGUAUGGGGCUUUGUCACCCGCUCCCGUAGGUCCAGCUGGCAGCUAGCGUCGCAACCAAUCUUUUUAACCAGGUGAC